This 555-nucleotide ribosomal RNA is filed under the name uncultured bacterium. Its description in RNAcentral is "partial 16S ribosomal RNA". It matches the Rfam family "Bacterial small subunit ribosomal RNA", at positions 355 to 900 of the family's 1533-position model. The record is from RNAcentral.
UAGGGAAUCUUCCACAAUGGACGCAAGUCUGAUGGAGCAACGCCGCGUGAGUGAAGAAGGUUUUCGGACCGUAAAGCUCUGUUGUUGGUGAAGAAGGAUAGAGAUAGUAACUGGCCUUUAUUUGACGGUAAUCAACCAGAAAGUCACGGCUAACUACGUGCCAGCAGCCGCGGUAAUACGUAGGUGGCAAGCGUUGUCCGGAUUUAUUGGGCGUAAAGCGAGCGCAGGCGGAAGAAUAAGUCUGAUGUGAAAGCCCUCGGCUUAACCGAGGAAUUGCAUCGGAAACUGUUUUUCUUGAGUGCGGAAGAGGAGAGUAGAACUCCAUGUGUAGCGGUGGAAUGCGUAGAUAUAUGGAAGAAUACCAGUGGCGAAGGCGGCUCUCUGGUCUGCAACUGACGCUGAGGCUCGAAAGCAUGGGUAGCGAACAGGAUUAGAUACCCUGGUAGUCCAUGCCGUAAACGAUGAGUGCUAAGUGUUGGGAGGCUUCCGCCUCUCAGUGCUGCAGCUAACGCAUUAAGCACUCCGCCUGGGGGAGUACGACCGCAAGGUUGAAAC